GGUUUCUCGACUUCUGUCGAGGAGAUGGGGCAACGUCAAGAACGACGGGUUGUCCAGUCUAAGGCAGGGGUUUGGUGAAUCAGUCCGGCAGCUAAGACGUAGGCCCAGCUUCCAGCCACGGCUUCUACGAUUUUAAGAACUACGUGUCUUCUUGAGAGCGAGCAGCUCACAUGGCGUCAUCUCAAUCUUCAUUGAUCUCUCGCUCUAUCAAUCUCUACCCGUCGAUUUCUCAAACUCUCUCCUUCAUAGCAAGCAGCUCACACGGCCUCGUCUAUUUGACAAUUUAUCUGCAAUCACACGGCAUUGUCACUAAAGUUCUGUUUUCUUGUAGCGUGACUGGUUAUUAUAAUGGUGCAUCUGUUGUGGGUGUAUUGUUCUCUUCCAGAAAUAGUCUGGCAACUAAAAUUAAAUUUUGAAGCAAGUCGAGGGUUGUCAAAA
This is a long non-coding RNA of Pyrus x bretschneideri (Chinese white pear), 438 nucleotides long. RefSeq lists it as uncharacterized. Lineage: Eukaryota; Viridiplantae; Streptophyta; Magnoliopsida; Rosales; Rosaceae. The record is from RefSeq and is a predicted model, not a curated record. The transcript is spliced from 2 exons.